RNAcentral lists this long non-coding RNA (2419 nucleotides) under Nicotiana benthamiana. Its description in RNAcentral is "long non-coding RNA (NBEN_LNC039036)". The record is from RNAcentral. Lineage: Eukaryota; Viridiplantae; Streptophyta; Magnoliopsida; Solanales; Solanaceae.
GUGAAUCAAAAUGUUUGGGAAAAUAGACUGUAAAUAAAUCAGACAAUAGUAAUUGAUAGGUUAAUUCCCUAUGGUUCAACUCUAGGCAUAAAUACUCAGAUUUUAUUUACAAUGCGCGCGUAAUCUUUUGUGAGACUCUGUUGAGCGUGAUCAUUAAGCAAUCUCCACAACAAAAAUCCGCAUGCUGAUUUCCAAAACAACACAAACAACAUGAAUAAAAAGAAACUGAUAUAAUGUAAUUCAUACACCCCUAACAUAACUUGUAUCUGCAACUCUAAUAACUUGACAAGGAAAUAAGGAAAACUGAAACUAUUUAAUUACAGGUGUUCCAUACAUAUUCAUCACAAGGAGAAGACCUUGAUGAAGGCAUGGAAGUAAACUAAAUAAGCUUAAAUCAUCUCAUUUUUGCAUUCAUUCUUGACCAAAAAGUAGUACAAACAGUUGAAGAAAUUACCUAAUCAACAGAGAAAAAUAUUAGUAAGGCAGGGACUGAAUUUCAGCAACAAACAAUAAUACAACAAUAGCAAAAUUAGCAACUUAUGACCCGAGAACAACCCAGAAAAAUCUAUCAAGAAAGUAUUUGAAAUCAGUAGCUACUUCACCAAGCAAUCACCUAGGAUUCCUCUAUUUUCUUACAAGUUUUACACUCUAAGAACACUCACAAAGUUCAGAAUUUUCAGCUCACUAUUCAGUAUGUUCCGUUGAUCUUCUCUAAAGUUUUGUGUUUUUUUACGGUGCAGAAGGUGAUGGCUAAGUGUGUUUGAGUGUGUAGAGAUCCCCAAGUGAGGAAACAACUCCUCUUUAUAUAGGAGAGGAAAGGAUGGGGCAGAUGUUUGUUUUACCAGAAAUCUGUCCAAAAUGAUAGUGUUUUUGAUAAAAAAUCUGUCCAAAAACAAACAUUUUGGUCAAUGGACAGUUGUUUUUACCAAUUGUGGACAAAGCAGUCCCUUAACCGUAAAAGCAAACCAAAAAAGGCCCUACGCUCAUGUAUCUUCUACUACCCUCAUAAACCAAUAUCCAACUAAACUAUUGCUUCAAACUAGAGAGUGCAAGAUCAAUAACAACACUUGAACCAUUAAACUAACAAAAGAACCUAAUGAAUACAAACACACAAAACAUAUAGCUAAGGCCUUAAACUAAUUACCUUAAACAUAGACAAAACUAGAAAUAAUAAAUAUGGAAUUAGAAAUUAACAACUUAAAGACAACACAAAAUACGAAUGAUAGUGAAACAACUAUCGAGUCGACUAAAACACGAAAUAAAAAACGAGACUAAACAUGAACUAACAAUCACUAAUAGAUUUUGAACUAAGGAAAAACACCAAAAUCAACUUCGAAACGAGAAGAUCAAUGAGUUUUGCCAAUUACAAAUAGUUUAUCGAAUUUUCCAAUGGAUUAUCAAAAUCGAUUAACUAAACAAAAACAUAAUGAUAGAUUAAACGACUAACUAAUAUGUGAUUUGAAAGUGUUAAGCAACAACCAACGUUGAAGAAAGUUGAUAAAAGUAAACUCGAACUAACUAUCAUGGAUUAACAAUUGAUUCAAAAUAGAAAAUUAACCAAAACUUAAACUUAAAUGGGAAAAAACCCAUAAGUUAUAAAAAGAGGGAAAGAAUUAAAGCAAUGGCCUAAACGAAUAAACAACAACAAAAUUUUUAAAAUCAACAAAAAAUGACUAAUCACUAAUUAAAAAAAAUAGAUCUUAAACUAAGCUAAAAAUUUCAAAAUCAGUCAUUAAAGGAGAAACUAGAAUCGAUGAACAAGGAAUUAGUAUUUUACCUAAACGCUCGGGCUCCAAAUCAGUAGUACAACACAUUUAGAUGGUGAAUCGACCUCCAAGCCUCUUUUUUCAACGUAUAAUGCUGAAAAGACACGAACUAUGGAGAUCCAAGUUGAGUCCAUCACUAUGUCAAAGAGAAAGAGAGACUAAGGGGUCGAAUUUUGCUAGACGGAGGCUAGGCGAUGCAGUAGGGUGGUGGAUGGUGGUUGGCCGAAACAUUCCAUAUUUUUAGCGGUUUGAUGGAUUUAGAGUGUGGAAUGGAGAAGAGGAGAGUUAGAGGAGGCCGGUGGUGUUAUUUUUAUGGGGUUUGGAGGUGGUAGAUGGCAGCUAGGGUUUCAGAUUUUCUUAUAUUUAUGGAGAUUGGUGAGGAUUUGAAGGAUUUGGGGUUUGGAUUCAUGAAGAGGAGGUUGAGAGGAAGAAAGGGUAAAAUUAUGGGUGGUUUGGACAAUAGCCGCCGCCAGUAGCGAAUUCCGCCGGGCGGUGCUGGGCAGUGACGCGCAGAGCAGGCAGAGUGGAGGGGGCGAUAAGAGAGAAGAAGAAAGGGGAAAAUAAGGGAAAAUGGGCAAAUUUUGAAGAUUUUAGGCUUUAUAUACCUGUGUGGGAGAUUAAAUUAGGGCCAUCGGAUUAUAUGAUGAUGAAUU